Sus scrofa (pig) is the source of this 1137-nucleotide long non-coding RNA. RefSeq lists it as uncharacterized. NCBI's taxonomy places the organism in Eukaryota, Metazoa, Chordata, Mammalia, Artiodactyla, Suidae. The record is from RefSeq and is a predicted model, not a curated record.
GCUCCAACAGGUCUCGCGGGAGCCGGCUGCGUCCUCAAGACUGUCUUCGAGGGUACUCUGCGUGCGCCUCAGAAUACUGAGGUUGCCUCAAUAAAGUCUGAGACUACGUCUUGGUAAUUGACCCCUGGACUGAUAACAGCGUAAAGAGAAGGAAUGCUCACAUACAACCUGUGGCCUAAUCACACCAGGAGGGUAUUAAUUCCAUUUCACCCAUGAGGAAACCGAGGCUCAAGAAGCUGAAGUCAUCUACCCAAGUCCACAAGGCUAGAAGUGGAGAAGCUGGGAUUCAAACUCAAGUCCCACUUCAGCUUCUGAGACGAGCAGUGAGUUAAAGAGUAACUAGAAAGAACGGAUACGACAAGUUUCUUCAUCUCCAGGGACCCCCGCGCUCUGCACACGGAGAUGUUUUCAACACAAGCCGCCUUUCUUCCACCCGGAAUGUUCUCUAACUGGAGAUCUCCAUCCACCAACACCUGAGUGCCUCUAUGGCGGGCAGGUGCCAGGCUCAGGGCCGUUACCCUCCGGGACAGCCUCCUUUUAUCCCGCCCCGGCGCCUCCAGCUCCUAGGAGGCACAGCAUUUCUCACCCAGUCCUACAGUCCUUCAAGUGAGCAGGGGCCGUGCCUCGUUCAUUUUUCUGCCAAAGGGCGGGCAUCCAAGUAUCGUUAGUGGGAUGAAUGGAAGAGUAACGACGGGCGUUCUAAAAAAGACGCUUAGAACUUCGGAAACGUCUGCACGUCUGGGUGGCGGUUCGGCGGGCACCCGAGUAAGGGAGAAGUCUGCACUCUAGGAGGAGACCUCGGUGACCCGGAGGACCCCAGGGAGACUAGAGGGGCAAGAGCGCGGCUUUCGCAUUUGCGUCUGCGCAGUAGUCUCACUCCGCAGGGAGGCGGAGUCGAGAAGAGCCAGGGGCGGGAUGCGGGGACUCCGCUGGCCAAUUAACCGGCGUAGCUCCGCGAGAGGGGCGGGGUGAGGCGCGACCGAGAGGUGGAGGGGGCGGGGCCAAGGGGGGCCAAGGCCUUGGAGCCCGGAACCUCACCCUCCCAAACCAGUGGCCCCGGGUGACCGAAGUCCUCAUUGUUAACCGUUGUCCCAGAGACGUUCUCUGUAAAUUAAAAUUUACCUGUUGCCUCCUUCA